This 526-nucleotide ribosomal RNA is filed under the name Osteocephalus taurinus (Manaus slender-legged treefrog). Its description in RNAcentral is "partial 16S ribosomal RNA". It matches the Rfam family "Bacterial large subunit ribosomal RNA", at positions 1919 to 2597 of the family's 2925-position model. The record is from RNAcentral. Lineage: Eukaryota; Metazoa; Chordata; Amphibia; Anura; Hylidae.
UUAGUUCAACGGCCGCGGUAUCCUAACCGUGCGAAGGUAGCGUAAUCACUUGUCUUUUAAAUGGGGACUUGUAUGAAUGGCAUCACGAGGGUUAUACUGUCUCCUUUUUCUAAUCAGUGAAACUAAUCUUCCCGUGAAGAAGCGGGAAUAAACAUAUAAGACGAGAAGACCCUAUGGAGCUUUAAACUUAAUAACAAAUACUAACCUUUCAUAAACCUUCAGAAUAUUAACCUUAAUUUUAGUAUUAUGAUUAUUAGUUUUAGGUUGGGGUGACCGCGGAGUAAAAAUUAACCUCCACAUUGAACGGGACCUGUCCCUGAGCCAAGAACUACAGCUCAAAGCACCAACAAAUUGACAUUAAUUGACCCAAUAUUUUGAUCAACGAACCAAGUUACCCUAGGGAUAACAGCGCAAUCCACUUCAAGAGCUCCUAUCGACAAGUGGGUUUACGACCUCGAUGUUGGAUCAGGGUAUCCCAGUGGUGCAGCCGCUACUAAAGGUUCGUUUGUUCAACGAUUAAAACCCU